CAGCAGUGGGGAAUAUUGCACAAUGGGGGAAACCCUGAUGCAGCGACGCCGCGUGAAGGAAGAAGUAUCUCGGUAUGUAAACUUCUAUCAGCAGGGAAGAAAAUGACGGUACCUGACUAAGAAGCCCCGGCUAACUACGUGCCAGCAGCCGCGGUAAUACGUAGGGGGCAAGCGUUAUCCGGAUUUACUGGGUGUAAAGGGAGCGUAGACGGAAGAGCAAGUCUGAUGUGAAAGGCUGGGGCUUAACCCCAGGACUGCAUUGGAAACUGUUUUUCUAGAGUGCCGGAGAGGUAAGCGGAAUUCCUAGUGUAGCGGUGAAAUGCGUAGAUAUUAGGAGGAACACCAGUGGCGAAGGCGGCUUACUGGACGGUAACUGACGUUGAGGCUCGAAAGCGUGGGGAGCAAACAGGAUUAGAUACCCUGGUAG
Molecule: ribosomal RNA, 427 nt
Filed under: uncultured bacterium
Lineage: Bacteria
Description: bacterial SSU rRNA
Rfam family: Bacterial small subunit ribosomal RNA
Source: RNAcentral